Molecule: long non-coding RNA, 2750 nt
Organism: Dreissena polymorpha
Lineage: Eukaryota; Metazoa; Mollusca; Bivalvia; Myida; Dreissenidae
Exons: 3
Source: RefSeq, a predicted model, not a curated record
UGUAUCUGUUGAUAAUUACGAAGAUAGUACUGCUGCUGAUAAUGAUUUUUAGGCGUGUGGUGGUCAUGUGCGAUUUAAGUAUUUAACGUACAUGUAUUCGUAUUCUUAUAGAUAGCUUAUUUCAUUUCACUCUACAUUGUAUCACAGCCGCGCUCUGGUUAUAUGGUGCUUAAUGUAUGUGAUUAUAGCUAGCUGAUUUCAUUUCACUUAACAUUGUAUUAUAGCCGCGCUCUGGUUAUAUGGUGCUUAAUGUAUGUGAUUAUCGCUAGCUAUUUCAUUUCAUGCUACAUUGUAUUAUAGCCGCGCUCUGGUAAUAUGGUGCUUAAUGUAUGUGAUUAUAGCUAGCUGAUUUCAUUUCACUCUACAUUGUAUUAUAGCCGCGCUCUGGUAAUAUGGUGCUAAAUGCAUUUUUGAAAAGUUUCGUCCCAGAUUAUAUUGUUUAGUCUGCACAGGCUAAUCGAGUGCGAUUCUUUUCGAUUGUAUUUUGUUUUUCGUUUGAAAAAAGUCUCUUUUUUUAAAAAAACAUUUUGGGCGUAAAGCGUCGUUCCUAAAAUGAUGUUAAAAUACAUAAUACGAAGCCUAAGGAAGUGCAUUUUCUUGUAAUCCAUUUUGGGCGUAAAGCGUUGUCCAUGUAAUAAUGCUAUAAUUAAUAAUACGGGCAAAAGCCCGCCGCUCAUCUAUCUAGACACGUUAAGCAUCAUAAACACUUCGACAAAUGCUAUAAUUCGUGUAUAUACAUACCUCCAGAAAUAAUAUGCUAAUGACUUCAAUAUUUUGUGGCCAAUAUCACUCAAUAUUUUCGCAUUUUAUUUUUGUUUUCUCUGCUAAAAGUUAGUUUUAAUUUCACGUCGUUUUGUUGUGCUUCCUGUUUCCGUUUUCCGGCCUUAAGGGCAAUAGCCUAGACUGGUUCAUAUCGAGGCGUGAUCACUUAUUCCAAAUACAACUUUAAUGAACAUUGUCUGUCUAAAAUGUAUUUCCUAAAUCCCGAGGUGUUUUAAAUUUAUUUGCUUCGAUCAUCAAUUUCAAUCAGAAAAAAUGUCACUUAUUUCAAUUAAAAACUACUGCGUUUUAAACAUUUGCAUCACCUUUGAGUUCGAAGGCGAUGGGAAAACAAUCAACAUGAACCUUACUGAACACUGUGUUCAAAUGUAUUCUAUGUGCCCGUUUAAUGCCGUAGGCGUCACCAGGUACCGUGUUUUAAGAGGCUAUACGAAUAACGAUUACAACAUUGUUGUUACAUGACCGCUUUCAAGGUCGUAUUUUCUUGUCAUUUCGAGCUCCGUUAUAUGUCCGGUUAUCUGUGCUAUCUACACAAAUGAAAUAUUUUUAGAUUAUUUUGAUGUGUUUUCUUCAUGUUGGGGUGGUGAUAUUUACUGGACUAAAAUCUGAAUGUACAAAAUGCUAGUUGUUUUCAAUAUAAUUGUCAUACGCAGACAUUAAAAAAAAUUCUUAUGGUGUAACACAAAUCUUAAUAUAUAUCUUACGUCAAUAUGUUUGCUGUACCAUGGACGUUAACGUUUUGACCAGUUAGAACGGCGACUAAAGCAUAGUUCAAUGUGUGCCUAGUCUACCAGACAACUGAAGGUAAUAUGUAUUUAAGAGCAGGUUCCUGUCUAAUCAAAUAUCUUACGAGAAGAACAAGUAACAACCGAAUUAUAAAGAAUUUAAAAAUGAGCCGCGCUCUGUAAAAACAGGGCUUAAUGCACGGGCAUAAAGUGCCGACUCAUAUUAGCCUGUAGUCUGUACAGUCCGCAAAGGCUAAUCAUGAACGACAGCUUCCGCAUAGAAAGUUUUUUUACUUAUAGAAGAGACUUAUUUUAAACAAAAAAAAUCCAUAAAAGCGGAAAGUGUCGUUCCUGGGGGCCGUUUCAUCAAUAAUUACGUAUUUUUAUACGAUCGUAAAUUAUGUAUCGAGAUUAAUGUAGUCGUUUACGAUUUUACAUAAACUCCGUUUCAUCAACGAAAUCGUAAAUGCAACUUACAUAAAAUACGACUACUUAAAUAUACGUAUUUUGUAACCGAAAAAAAUAGUGACACAGUCUGAAAAAUUGCAUGACGUAAUUUUCGCGCGUUCUGUCAGCUGAGGAAAACAUCGCACAAAAACAAACUCCUAUAAAUAUGCGGUCGAUUUACGUCUAAUUAUUUGGACUAACAAAAACAAUGCUAGUUGUAAAUCGAAACAAAAACAAACAUUGGAAAACGACGUGUAGACCGGUGUGGAAGGCUACCGAUUGCUGUUUGGCCGACACUCUCCUUCCGUUACUAAACGCAAAAAGAAGUUAUUUUGGAUGGAGACGGUUUGAAAUAAAACAAAUGUUAUUACUGGCUGAAGGACCAAAAUUGAAUGGACAGAGAACACGGUUGUCAAAACUCAAACAGAAGUUGACACUCAGCUACGUUAAAACAUAAAACUGAAGGCAGAAGCAACAAAUACAACAUGUGAAGAAUGAAGCAACAGUUUAACUACAACUCGGGGAGAUGUUGAUGGCGUCAAGGGAAAGAUAUGCCAUUCAGAGGGGCAUAAGCAAUACAUGUUAUCAUGAGGAACUGGUUUCUCUUUAAAAAAAAAUUUUAUUUUAAAAUGCUCAAUUGUUUCUUGAACUUUUAAUUGACUUUACAUGUGAUGGUGUUCAGUGAGUCUAUGAAACUUAUUAUUACACAUACUAUCAUGUAAGAUAUAAAUUGUCAUAUGAAUUAUAAUACCAUGCCCAGUUAAUAUAUUGUACUUCCUGAUUAAUAAUAAAUAUUUG